This 433-nucleotide ribosomal RNA is filed under the name uncultured bacterium. RNAcentral's name for it is "partial 16S ribosomal RNA". It matches the Rfam family "Bacterial small subunit ribosomal RNA", at positions 29 to 507 of the family's 1533-position model. The record is from RNAcentral.
AGCGAACGCUGGCGGCAGGCCUAACACAUGCAAGUCGAACGAACUCUUCGGAGUUAGUGGCGGACGGGUGAGUAACACGUGGGAACGUGCCUUUAGGUUCGGAAUAACUCAGGGAAACUUGUGCUAAUACCGAAUGUGCCCUUCGGGGGAAAGAUUUAUCGCCUUUAGAGCGGCCCGCGUCUGAUUAGCUAGUUGGUGAGGUAAAGGCUCACCAAGGCGACGAUCAGUAGCUGGUCUGAGAGGAUGAUCAGCCACAUUGGGACUGAGACACGGCCCAAACUCCUACGGGAGGCAGCAGUGGGGAAUCUUGCGCAAUGGGCGAAAGCCUGACGCAGCCAUGCCGCGUGAAUGAUGAAGGUCUUAGGAUUGUAAAAUUCUUUCACCGGGGAUGAUAAUGACGGUACCCGGAGAAGAAGCCCCGGCUAACUUCGUG